GCCUGCGGCCACACCACCCUGAAUGUGCCCGAUCUCGUCUGAUCUCGGAAGCUAAGCAGCGUUGGGUCU
This 69-nucleotide ribosomal RNA is filed under the name Cryptobranchus alleganiensis (hellbender). The record is from RNAcentral. Lineage: Eukaryota; Metazoa; Chordata; Amphibia; Caudata; Cryptobranchidae.